Molecule: RNA transcript, 458 nt
Organism: Ciona intestinalis (vase tunicate)
Lineage: Eukaryota; Metazoa; Chordata; Ascidiacea; Phlebobranchia; Cionidae
Source: RefSeq, a predicted model, not a curated record
AUAAACAUAUAUAAAGCGUACGUGAGAAAUUUUGACGAACAUUUUAUGAUAAGUUUGACAUUGAAAGAUUUUAAAACGUUAAUUUUGAUUUAAAAUGUUCACAAAACAACUUCUUCGUGUUUUAAGAGCUCCAGCUCUCCAAACACGCAAUGCAUCCAGUUUCAAUAAGUUCCCAACUAUGAAAGUGAAACCAUUUGGUGUUGAUGGGAACGUGAUGUUGGCAAUUGGAACUAUCUCACUCAUAGCAUCCACAUACAUUGUCCAAAAGAGCGGUUACCUUAUCCCACAAACUCCUGGUGUUGGCUUCAACUAUAAGAAGCUUGACAUUGACCUAACAACACCAAUUGAACCAAAGCCAGCCAGUGAUCGACAAAAAUAAACAAUCUUUGAAUCCAGUAUUUAUGUAACAUCAUGUACCUUUGGUUUUUGAAAUGAAUUAAAAUUUAAUCAUGAAUUCU